UUCUGAUCGACCAGGAGGGUGCUCCAAGGAGCAAAACCCUAGUUCACACUAAAUGACCAAAUUGAAGCUCGAAUCAAGACUCAAAUCACUGCAUGAACACAUAAAAACGAUCACCUAGUCAUGGGGAUCACAAGUUUGACGAUUAACAAGCUAGGUGAAAGCUUGGGAACGAAGCGAGUCAAACGAAGCAAGAAUGACGGAAAAGCAUAAUUUGGAUGUAAGGAGUAAAUGUCAAAUGAGUAUUAGCAACAUUAUGGAUUAGCGGUUAUAAAAGCAAGGUAUUAAAAACGGGUCAAUAUAUUGAUCCGCGCCAGGUAUGUGAAAAACGGCAACACUCAUUUAGAAUAUGCGGUUCGAUGAGUGUUGAAAGAAGUCAAAAUAAACAUUUGGUUACUUGAUAAGUAAACCGAAUGUUUAAAAUAAUGAACAUUGCGUUUGGAAAGCUUAAUGACUUUUCAAACAAAAAUCAUAGGUUAAAAGAGGGAUUAUGGGUCAAAUAUACCUUCAAAAGUCCUUCAUCGUAAAUGAUUAGCUAAACAGACUAAAACGCCCUUAUAAGCUAAAUUGGACAAACGACCUUUAAAGGUAGUUUUGAAACGAGUUUUAUGAUCAUAUAAAUAAUUAGAAUAAGUAUAAGAAGCGAAAGAUGUAAACCCUUGGUCAAAUGACUCUAUAUGAGUCUUUGUCGUUAAUUAGCAAUCCGACGAGAAAAACUCGGAUUAUAUA
Long non-coding RNA from Helianthus annuus (common sunflower), 726 nucleotides. RefSeq lists it as uncharacterized. Lineage: Eukaryota; Viridiplantae; Streptophyta; Magnoliopsida; Asterales; Asteraceae. The transcript has 3 exons. The record is from RefSeq and is a predicted model, not a curated record.